GCAGAGCCGCGCUGCUGGAGGCAGCUGCUUGGUGCAGCGGCCCGGGCACCCUGGGUUUUGUUUUUUUAGUUUUUUUUUUUUAAUUUAAUUUGUAUCCGAGGCCAAAUUAGCCAAAACUAAUUCCAAAUCCAUGAGUCCAGACCCAUAAGUGGCCCUGUCCCUGGCAAAUAUCCUCCACCCGCACCUGGGGCUUCAGAUGUUUCCAAAAGCUUUGGCGGGCGUCCCACGUGCGGGCCCGUAGGGGUCCGGAGGCCCCCGAGCUCUGCUUGCCCUCAGCCGUAAGCCCUGGGAGCAAGUAAGAGAGGAGCCUGAGCCUGAGCCUGCUCCUGGGUUUGCUGCCAGCGCUUUCUUAUGAAAGAAAGAAGCACUUCAGUCUGGGUGACCCUGGUCUCGCUCGCUUGCUGGAGUUACGGCUGAGCAACGUCAAGUAAAACUUGUGUGCCUAUUUUUUUUUUAGCAUGCAAUUGUUUUUCAGCAAAUACGGUAAUUUGGUGCUUCUAAUACGACUGAAGCGGGGCAGCGCUGUUGCAGCCGUUCCGCGCGCCGCCUUGUUUAUGGUGGAGCGCGGCAGUGGUGGUUUAACCCCGUGCGUCGCAGAGGCGGAAGGUGGGGGGCUGCCCUCGUGCAGGUGAGCUCAGCACCCUGGGUGUCUAGAGCAGUGUUUCCCAACCUUUUCCAGCUCAAGGCACGCUUAUAUUAAUAAAAGUUUUCCCGUGGCACACCUGUUAAGGCAUUCCCUAUCCUUGCAUCUAUUGUGGCUUGUUGCCGUGGCAACAGUCUGGCACGCCUGUUCAUUUCUGACGGCACACUUUUGUGCCGUGGCUGGUUGGGAAACACUGGUUUAGAGAGACGGGGAGCAUAAGCUGCCUGAGCCCAAAUUCACGGGCAUCUGCUGACCUUGAGGUCAGGACAGCAGGUGCUGUCCUGUCUACAGACUUCUCAGAGGGGCAGGACUGCCCGCCUUCUGCCUGAUGCCAGGCUAACACAGCAACCCGCUCUCUCUGCCCCUGCUUGUCUUCCAGCAGUGGUGCCCCGCCUUCCCCCCUUGGGCUGGAUGGCUGGGGCUCAGGCCAUGGGCUGGAUCCGGCCUGCAAGCCCGAUACAGCACGUGGGGCGAUGAGGCAGGGCCCGCUCUUGGCCUGGCUCCCAAUCCAGCCACAGGGAGGGAGUGUGGGGGGCCCCACAGGCCGGAUGCCCCAGCUCCAUGGGCUGCGUUUGGCCCGUAGGCUGGAGGUUGAGCACCCUGUUUUACGUGCUUUAAGACUGAUAUAACUCUUGCACCUUUUGUCCCCCAGAGACUAGCUUUCUGGGGUCCUCGGUUUGUUCUUUCAUCAUUAGGCUGUUCGCUCCUUCAAAAAUAAACUAAUGCACAGAAACUAGUGAGUUAUUUAAACGGGGAUGUUGAACGUGCUCUGAAACCCUGACUGAAGUCUGGAACGUGCUUCCUUCUUGGAAGGGAAGAGUUUUUGUUUUCCCCUAGCAAAUAUCAGCUAGGUUAUUUUUGAGAGGUUUGCAAUAUUUGCAUGAGGCUGAAACUGAGCAGACAUUAGUCAAAAUAAGACUGGCUUUUUUGGAGUUCUGAAUCGGAACGGUUUGUGUCGGGAGGAGGGGAAUUAUAGAUCCCUUUUAAACACCUUUUUGUGACGCUCGUGUAUUUUUAUCAUCACAAAAAGAAUCGCGCAAGUACGCUGUUCCGCUUCAAUAAGGACUCUCAGAUAUCUAUGGGCAAAGGAACAAAACAAGCUGUUGGCGUUACGAAAGUCGGUUGGUGCAGGAAUUCUCAAAGGACUGCUGAUGGGAGCUUCCACCUGCCUUUUUGACAGCAGAGCUCUUUCAGGGGAGAUUGCUGGCAGCUGUAUCUUGAUAGGAAACCCUGUGUUAACUUGUCUUGACAGAAAUUGUGGCUCAUAGAGACAUACAGUCAUUUUACUGAAGCUUUUUUUGGAAUAUGUUUUCUGUCUGAGCAAUAGUGAGGGCUCUUGAGACAUGACACUGAACUGCACUGAUGUGCAGAAAAAUAACUUAUGAAUGCUUUCUCCAGGUGCAGUGUAUUUUCAACUUGUUCUCUGCUGAAUUUAGAACAGGAUGAGUGGAUGAAUGCAAAAUUACAAGUAAUGUAAUAAGAACGAACCCAUUCCCCCUUCUGGCAGCUGGAUCUUCCUGGGAGGUCAUAGAUGAUCUGCUCCUCCUCCACCUGCCAGGAUCCUGCAGGGAAGUCCGGGAUACCCUUCUCUCACCUGUGGCACCAAGAUCUCUUCCUCUGACCGGCUCCCUAUCUGGGUCAGCACCCGUUUUCCAAGAAACGGAUCUUUUUUCGCCAGGACUAUUUUUUUUUAAAGUGGAAUAACACGCAAGAAAGCAGUGCUGUGUCUGCAACUAACAAACGAGCAAUGUUUCUGAGAACAUAAUAAAGGUAUUGUUGUACCAUAGCCGUAACAUUUCAUCCAAGGUAAUUGCUAAGUAACACUGGGUCACUUUCCAGUCCAGUCCUCAUCUGUUUUCAGAUGUUAGCAAAGAGUAAGUAAAAAAACCCACCAAGAGAACUCUGUAUAUACCUUAUUUGAUACAUGAUUACAAACAAUAAAAUAGGAUUCAUUUAAUGUUUGAAUGAUAAGUAAAUUUGAAAAAUGACUUUAAAUUUAAACUAAAGAUGGUUCUUGAGAGACUCGGAUAUCUUAUACCAGGACAAAAUCUGGUCCCUGCCAGAACAUAUGACUUGCCAUAUUAGAUCAGACCAGCGGUUCAUUUAGUGACAUUAAGUUGCUUUAGAGAAAAUGAUGCGAUUUAGUACAGUUAUGGAUUUAACCUGCUUACAGGGACUCUUUCAUCCUAACUCCUCUCCUGUAGAAGUUAUUUAGUCCUUGUAGAAUUUUUUAAAUUUUUUUUGCUAUUGUAACCGUAUCUUGAUCUGUAUAAAUGUCAAGGUCAUUUGAAGCUCUUGGCUUCUAUGAUACCUCAUGGUAAUGCGUUCCAUGGACAAAUAGUAUAUUGUAUUAAAAAUAUUUUUAUCCAUUUUAAGUCUUCUCACUUCAGAGUCCAGGGGAUGACUCCUUGUCUUUGUAUUACGAGAGAGAAUGAAUGAAUGGUUUGAUUUAGUACUCUCAUAUUAAUAAUUACUUAGUAUCACUGUCUCUUAUUUUUCUCCUCUAAAGUAAACAGCCUCCAUCUUAUCUAGUGGUAUAUUUUUAACAUAUGUUGGGGCAGCACGCAGAGUCUCAGUUAAAAAAUAAUCAUGGAGCAUUAAUUUAGGGCAGAGUUUCCUUUUGGAAAAGGACUAUCUAAGAAUAAUACCUUACUUAAUAGAGCUAUUCUCUGCGUGUAUUCAGGUUGUACCUUGCUGGCUUUGGCUACUGUUAGAGAACCAGAGCAGCUCGGAGGGAAUAAGCAGGAUUCUGUUAAUUCUUGAACAUCAUCAGUAGAAUUAGUGACUGAAUUCCAAUCAGUUACAGCUGUGCAGACAUAUUGAGGCAAAGUACAAACUGUUUAGGGGAAAAAUGACUGCAGGAAGCAUUAAAAACGACUAGAUGGACUGACUUCUGAGAGAGCGAAGAGCCUCGCCUCACAGGAAAAGGCCUUAAUGGAGCAAAAUACGUGUUGUGAAAGUAUGUGGUGACUGAGGAAGAUGAGAGAACCACUUUCUACAAAUAUGUUAAUAAUGUAAAGGAGAGAAAAUAGUUAUUAAGGUGAUAUACAAUUGCAUUUUGUUACCUAAGAAUUUUGAGAUGGAAUUUAGAAAGGGAAGAUUACUAAGUCCAUAAGAUGCAUUAGCCUAUAGACUAAUUGAUUUUUAAUGGCACUAAUUGAAAUUCUGUCUCCCAAUUUGUUCAGAAUGAAAAAAGUCCUACUAUAAAUGCACUCCAGGGAGACAGGCUAUAGGUCUUUCACAUUCAAGCUACUAUGCAGUUAGUUUAAUGAGAAAAAUUAAUUCUUUAACCAGUUCAUUUACUGACCUCUGGAAACUAUGAUUAAACUUUUGCUUUAGACCUCUUCAGAUUUUAGGGAGCUUUGUCAUGUGAAUAAAAUCCAUAUUGAUGGCUUUUCCAAUAAGGAGAAUGCGAUUGAUAAAUACAGGAAGGUUGCAUGAGAAGACUCCCUGGCUACUAGUAUUUCUGAUUGGCUCCAGUCUCUUCUGUUACCUGUGUCUCUUAUGAACUUGAAUCUGGUCUCCUGAAAUCUUACAUUGCAUUUUAUUGUUGUGGAAGAAGGGAAAAAUGGAGUUGAAUCUCCAUUAUAUGUAAGAAUAAAUAAAAAAAACAUAUACCCAGCUUGGCUAUGAGGAAGUCACAAGGGCAUGACCCAAAACCGCCAGACUAACACAAGAUGGGGACCAUCCUGCCCUGGUCUAGUAAAAAACAAAAGCUUAGCACAAAAGUAACCACAAACCAGCCUGCUGAGUCGGCCCAAAAUGGGACGUGAACCCUAAGUUACAAGUUAGACAAGAGAUAGUAAAAUUUUUGCUAACAUAAUCAUAAAACAAGACAUGCGCUUUACUAACAAAGUCAUGACAAAUGCUGAUUGGUAUAUGUCGUUGCUAUGCUUAUGAUGUCAUAUUUUCUAUAUGAACUCGCCUCAUCUGUUGUACGAGGUCAGACCUCUUCACAAUUCUCCAAUUGUGUAUGAGUCUGUUCAGAAUGCAUUCUCUAAUAAACCAAGCUUCUG
Long non-coding RNA from Alligator sinensis (Chinese alligator), 4659 nucleotides. RefSeq lists it as uncharacterized. The transcript has 3 exons. NCBI's taxonomy places the organism in Eukaryota, Metazoa, Chordata, Crocodylia, Alligatoridae. The record is from RefSeq and is a predicted model, not a curated record.